UACGUAGGGGGCAAGCGUUGUCCGGAAUCAUUGGGCGUAAAGAGCGUGUAGGCGGCCCGGUAAGUCCGCUGUAAAAGUCAAAGGCUCAACCUUUGAAUGUCAGUGGAUACUGCCGGGCUAGAGUCCGGAAGAGGCGAGUGGAACUCCUGGUGUAGCGGUGGAAUGCGCAGAUAUCAGGAAGAACACCGGUGGCGAAGGCGGCGUUCUGGACUGCAACUGACACUGUAAAACGAAAGCCAGGGGAGCAAACGGG
This 253-nucleotide ribosomal RNA is filed under the name uncultured bacterium. RNAcentral describes it as "partial 16S ribosomal RNA". It matches the Rfam family "Bacterial small subunit ribosomal RNA", at positions 524 to 776 of the family's 1533-position model. The record is from RNAcentral.